Long non-coding RNA from Uranotaenia lowii, 1000 nucleotides. RefSeq lists it as uncharacterized. The transcript is spliced from 2 exons. NCBI's taxonomy places the organism in Eukaryota, Metazoa, Arthropoda, Insecta, Diptera, Culicidae. The record is from RefSeq and is a predicted model, not a curated record.
ACACUCAGAAUCAAAACAACCCAAAAAUAAGAACGCCAGCGCAUCAAAACAAAGUUCGGAUGUCUUUCUUAAUUUUGGGCUGCUGUCAAUAUACCAAAAUCAAAGUUCGAAGCUCGAACUGAAUACCCCAAAAAAAUUUCCCUUUGUUUUCAGUUAGUUUCGUUUUGUUCCCAAACACAAGUCGGUCACUUUGGAAAAAAAUGUCUGGAUUGGAUUGGAUCGUAAGGUAAUUUUGAUUUAAUUAUAUAAAUUUUUAUUCUAAAACAGAAUUUUCCAGACGUGUCCAGCUCAUCUGUUGCAUUUGCUUCAGGCGGAUUUGGAAUAAUGAGCAAUCUAACCUAAAAAUGGAACAAAAAUAACUGACCGGAAGUCGGGGGGAGGAAGAAUGUAUUCGCCAAUGGAAACGUCCAUUUACUGUAAUCCGGAGCACCAAAAAACAUUUGUUUAUAUCCAAAAUAGUCUCUGUUGCAUGAGAAAACACACGAACCAUAACCGAUGUUUUGGAAACGAUUCAGCAGUUCCGGUUACUACGAAGAUCCAUGAGGUUCCAGCUGAAUGACCGGAUCCAUCGUUCAGAUCAAUCCGAAAUUUUCGAUCAAUUACGUUCGUUGGCAGUACUCUUUCUCUCCGGACCGGCGAAAAUAUUGUGCCUUCCGAUGGCAAAAAGUCUGGUUUUAUUAAGUUGCGUUCUCGAUAUGUGAAAAAAGUAUAAUUCCUGCAUGCCAUGGUCACACGAUUGAAACAAUUUUUUUUUAAUAAAAUAAAUAUAUUGAUCAUAAAUUAAAAAAAAUAUUCAUUAAAAAUGUAUACUCCCUUUUAAUAAGCGGUUCUUGAAACCAAAAAUCCCUCCCGAAUGACAUGCCCCAAAAUUAAGUUGUGAGAAUGACGUUUAUUCUCAAGUUUGGGAAAACCCCCUCAAACUCAUUUUCGUCGGGAGCCAGUUUCAUCCGAUUUUGCGGCAUUCCAACUUGGUUUUGGGUUAUAACGCCCUAGAGUGUAU